UUAAUACCCCAUAGUAAUAUUUAGUGGCAUCAUUAGAUAUUUAAAGAUUUAUUGCUUAGAGAUGGCUGUGCGGCUGAUUAGGUAGUUGGCGGGGUAAAGGCCCACCAAGCCAUCGAUCAGUAACUGGUGUGAGAGCACGACCAGUCACACGGGCACUGAGACACGGGCCCGACUCCUACGGGAGGCAGCAGUAAGGAAUAUUGGUCAAUGGACGAAAGUCUGAACCAGCCAUGCCGCGUGAAGGAUGAAGGUCCUCUGGAUUGUAAACUUCUUUUAUGUGGGAAGAAACCGAUGGAUUAUUCUGUCGUUGACGGUACCAUAGGAAUAAGCACCGGCUAACUCCGUGCCAGCAGCCGCGGUAAUACGGAGGGUGCAAGCGUUAUCCGGAUUCACUGGGUUUAAAGGGUGCGUAGGUGGGAAAGUAAGUCAGUGGUGAAAUCUCCGUGCUUAACACGGAAACUGCCAUUGAUACUAUUUUUCUUGAAUUUUCUGGAGGUCAGCGGAAUAUGUCAUGUAGCGGUGAAAUGCUUAGAUAUGACAUAGAACACCAAUUGCGAAGGCAGCUGGCUACAGGGACAUUGACACUGAGGCACGAAAGCGUGGGGAUCAAACA
RNAcentral lists this ribosomal RNA (613 nucleotides) under uncultured bacterium. Its description in RNAcentral is "bacterial SSU rRNA". It matches the Rfam family "Bacterial small subunit ribosomal RNA", at positions 163 to 774 of the family's 1533-position model. The record is from RNAcentral.